RNAcentral lists this long non-coding RNA (261 nucleotides) under Vitis vinifera (wine grape). Its description in RNAcentral is "long non-coding RNA (VVIN_LNC008204)". The record is from RNAcentral. Lineage: Eukaryota; Viridiplantae; Streptophyta; Magnoliopsida; Vitales; Vitaceae.
UUUUUCUUACUUUUUGGCUUUUUGGGUGAUUCAUACGGUGCGUGGGACUGCAGGGAAUCCAAUUAAACCUUGACAACAACAAUGCUUUGCAGUGACACUUGACACCCAAGUGUCAGAAAUUUGAGCUCCAACAGUGAAAUAAAUACUUCGUGGAUCAGAAAAUUAAAAGCUCCAGCUAAAUCUGAUGGUCACGCCUUAUAAUUUUAUUUCUUUGUGUGCCAUACUUAUUGGGCAAUGAAAGGUUCCAUCACACUUUACAUC